This 305-nucleotide ribosomal RNA is filed under the name uncultured bacterium. RNAcentral describes it as "bacterial SSU rRNA". It matches the Rfam family "Bacterial small subunit ribosomal RNA", at positions 333 to 637 of the family's 1533-position model. The record is from RNAcentral.
CUGUGCCUACGGGGGGCAGCAGUGGGGAAUAUUGCACAAUGGGCGCAAGCCUGAUGCAGCGACGCCGCGUGCGGGAUGGAGGCCUUCGGGUUGUAAACCGCUUUUGUUCAAGGGCAAGGCACGGUCUUUGGCCGUGUUGAGUGGAUUGUUCGAAUAAGCACCGGCUAACUACGUGCCAGCAGCCGCGGUAAUACGUAGGGUGCAAGCGUUAUCCGGAUUUAUUGGGCGUAAAGGGUUCGUAGGGGGUUUGUGGGGUCCGGUGUGAAAGUCGAUGGUUUAAGGGUGGAUAGGGGCCGGGUAAGGGG